Molecule: long non-coding RNA, 639 nt
Filed under: Calidris pygmaea (Spoon-billed sandpiper)
Lineage: Eukaryota; Metazoa; Chordata; Aves; Charadriiformes; Scolopacidae
Description: lncRNA (ENSCPGG00000016512.1)
Source: RNAcentral
CCGAGCUCUCAGUAGUUCUCGGUGUUCCUGCUAAUCACUGACGACAGAGGCUUUGUCUCCAGAAGAUCACAGUAUUUUGAUUUGCAUUUUUCUCACCAGCAGGAAAGCAGGCAAUGGGGGAGCAGUCCACUUCCACAAGACACCUACUGCCAGGAAGAGAAAUUCCUCACAGCUCCAGUAAAACACACAAAGCACUCUAAUUUCAGCCAAGGCUUAUACAAUAUAAUCUCCUCCACACCCCGGGUGCGUAUCAGCAGGCAGCAGUAAUGGGUAUUGUCUGAAUCAAAGCCUCUUACAGAAACGUUGCAAACCAGAAUGAAAAGACUGGAACAGCUCCCCAUCAGUAUGUGGAAAGCAUUCCAGCCUGGGAAUUGAGCAGUGGGUUUUCUGCCAUCAUCUUUCAAACUGCAUUUUGGAAGGACUCAGCUUGGAGUGUUUUAAAACAGCCUUCAGGAUGUUGGUCUAAAGUUUGCUGCCUACACCAGAAACGUUUGAGAAAGCUGCUGAGAUCACCAAGAGAAGAUGGAUGUAAUGGUUUUCUGAAGAGAGGGUAAGUUGUUGGCAGAAGGUGGUGCUGUUACCUGAUGGUGAAGCAGAUAACUAGCUCCUGUGUCAGGGAACUUCUGCUAAACAAAAUCC